RNAcentral lists this unclassified non-coding RNA (286 nucleotides) under Hevea brasiliensis (rubber tree). The record is from RNAcentral. Lineage: Eukaryota; Viridiplantae; Streptophyta; Magnoliopsida; Malpighiales; Euphorbiaceae.
CUCGAAAUUCUUUCCCUCUCUCUAUAUCGUAAAUCAGCGCUUUUUGAUCUCUUUGCAUUCUCAGAUGGCACCGAAGGCAGCAGAGAAGAAACCAGCGGAGAAGAAGCCGGCGGAGGAGAAGAAGGCCGAGAAGGCACCAGCGGAGAAGAAGCCUAGGGCGGAGAAGAAGUUGCCAAAGGAAAGCGGCGCCAGUGACAAGAAGAAGAAGCGCACAAAGAAGAGCGUGGAGACCUACAAGAUCUACAUCUUCAAGGUCCUGAAACAGGUUCACCCAGAUAUUGGGAUC